This 620-nucleotide long non-coding RNA is filed under the name Physcomitrium patens. RNAcentral describes it as "long non-coding RNA (PPAT_LNC007467)". Lineage: Eukaryota; Viridiplantae; Streptophyta; Bryopsida; Funariales; Funariaceae. The record is from RNAcentral.
ACUAGGGUUUGAUUAGGGAUUGGUUUAGGAUUAGGAUUUGGUUUAGAAUUUGGUUAAUAUUUGAUUUAGGAUUUGGUUAGGAUUUUAUUUAGGAUUUAGAUUUUGGUUUAGGAUUUAGAAUUUGAUUUAGGAUUUGGUUAGGGUUUGAUUUAGGAUUUAGGGUUUAGGGUUUAGUUAGGAUUUGGUUAGGAUUUGAUUUAGGAUUUAAAAUUUGAUUUAAGAUUUGGUUAGGGUUUAGUUUAGGAUUUAGGAUUUGGUUUAGGGUUUGGUUAGGAUUUGAUUUGGGAUUUAGGAUUUGAUUGGGGUUUGGUUUAAGGUUUGUUUAGAGUUUGGUUUAGAGUUUAGAUUUUGAUUUAGGAUUUAGGAUUUUAUUAGGAUUUAAGAUUCAAUUAGUUUUGGCAUAAAGUUUGAAUGAAGUUCAAUAGGAUUUUAACUAGGAUUAAAUCAAGAUUGAAUUGAGAUGUAUUUGAAUGAUAUUUGUGAUCAUUCUAAUAUUUCUUUAAGAAUUCUUAUUAUUUGUUUGAAAUUUCUUUGAGGUUUUUUUGAAUUUGAUUAAAGCUUUCUUAGAAUUAUUACAGUCUAAUUAGAGCAUUAUUAGUAUUCUAUUAGAAUUAAGAUUU